This is a long non-coding RNA of Thunnus maccoyii (southern bluefin tuna), 2654 nucleotides long. RefSeq lists it as uncharacterized. NCBI's taxonomy places the organism in Eukaryota, Metazoa, Chordata, Actinopteri, Scombriformes, Scombridae. The transcript is spliced from 3 exons. The record is from RefSeq and is a predicted model, not a curated record.
UUUUAGUCAUUGGUACAAUAGUUAGGUAUCUGCUCUCCAGCACUGUAUUGCUGUUUGAUAAUCACAUUAUGGGUUCCUGCACAUCCGACGGUUAGUGUAAAUUUGUCACUAGGCACUCUUUUGGGUAUUAUAGUGAAUGUGUUAGCAAACAGCUGCCUAUUUACACAACCAGAGAAGGAGCAACCAUAGCAUUCAUUUGAAGUCACGUUUCUGACCACCACCUAGAGGCCUAUAUAGCCUCUCCUUUAAGCUCUGUUUUGGUCUCCACCAACUUCUGAGAGAAAAUUAGCUGCUAAGUGCUCCACUCUGUUCACCAGCUAGUCUCUAAGUGUGUCGGUCUGCUGUUUGGUGCUGGGCAGGUAGAGUACAGUGGCUUUAUCAGACCUUUGUCACUGCAAGCAGUGGCCUGCUGUUGGUGAAAACCAGCUUGAUGAGAGUAGAGUUACAGGCUAGAAACCCAAACCAGCGAUAUGUGUCAGUCAGUAAGAGACUUGCACUCUCCUAGGCUGCAUCACCUCAUCAUUUCGGGAAUUUGAAUAUUCUUUGCCCGGGAGAACACGUCCAGAGGAAGAGGAGGAGGAGGAGAGGAUUGAAGAUGAGGAAGAGUAAGAUGUCUUGGUCCUCUUUCCUGGUUUCUCUAAAAGAAAAGAAAUGUACACUAAUAAGUUUGUCUCCAAUCAAAUUUUCUACUUCUCAUUUACUUUAAGAUACUUUUUGUUUUACUGUGCUGUAUAACGGCUUAUCAGGGAACAUUUUACAGUAAGGCUGAGAUGCAAUAAGACAUAAUUAAAUUACUAACCAAUCAAAAGGAUAAAAGCGGAAACAGCUAAAAGCAAGACAGUGCUCAGGUGAAACAAAACAUCAUAAAAGGAAAUUUAAAAUUAUUACAACUGCUACUCCUUAAACUACAUUAUAAACAUCAUUUGCUACUAUUACUUCUACUGUACAGCUUCUGCUGUUACAAGCUUUACUGCUGCUGCUGCUGCUCCAAAAGGAAACCAUAGAAGCUCUGAAAUGCAACAGCAAAGAUGAAACAAAUUUAAGGUUUCAUUUUGAGAUUCUCUUCAUUUUUAGAUCAUAUUACCCUCAUCAUAUUAUUAUUUUUAGAUCAUAUAGACACAUUUUUAUGUAUGUUCAUGGCAUAUUGUCACUGCACUAGUCAGUCUUUUCUGGCUUUCCAGUCAACAGCUGAGAACUAAACCAACAGAGGAGGCAUCGAAGGAAAGACAGGAGGCUUGAAAAAGGGUUUAAAUACUCCCACCUUUUUCAUGUUGAAUCAGUCAAAGAGUUGAACUGAGGAGGAGGGGUAUUGCUUCUUCAAACAACAUAUUCUAACCAUCCUGGAUAAAUUCAAUGUCAUGCUUAAAGAGGUCAACCAAUCAGCUAUCUUCUCCAUAGCUACUGUAAGUAUGGACACAGCCUGCUGUUUUGAAUUAGCAUGUCCAUAAAUGACUGUGUCAUCUGCGUACAUUUAGAUAUUAACUUCUGAACAUAUAGACGGAAGAUCAUGAAUGUAAAUACUAAAUUAAAGAGGUCUUAAAACAGAACCGUGAGGGACACCAACAGAAAACUCAAAAUGGUGAUGCUAUUCCUUUAACUCAUGUACAGUGUUGUCUAUUGUUCAAAUAUGAUGCCACCCAGUCAAUAGUUUUUUUUUGGAUACAUUAUGAGUUGAUGAUUUAGAUAAUAGCACCUAAUGACUAACUGUGUCAAAUGCUUUAUCUAUAACUAUGACUACAAUCACACCCCCUUUAUCUAACAUGCAUUUCAUUUGCAAAAUAGCAAUUUGCUGAUUCUGUUGAGUGAUGUGCUCUAAAACCAAACUGCAUUGGAUUCAGAGAAUGAUGACCAUAAUUCAAGCUGUCUAUGAAACUAAGCUUUGCCACCAAUUUUUUAUCACCUUGGAUAUUAUUGGAUGGAUGCUAACUGGUCUUUAGUCGGUCUGAUCUCUUAUUUUUAAUUUUUUAAUAAUUGGUGUGAUAACUUCAGUUUUUAAAGUGUGUGAGAGAGAGAGCUGCUUCCCUGUCACAGGCAGAGGAUGGGGGCAAACUCAAUUUACUGUCUGCAAUUUUUUCUCUCAGAAAACUGAGAAGAAAUUGCUAAGAAAGUUACUUUCAUUCACUUUAAAAAGGACCAUAAGUGUAUUAAUUCCUCAACUACAGCUUGUGUAUAUUUUCUAUGUUUUCUACCAUCCAUUGGCUUCCAUCCUUUGAAGAACAUGUAAAAUCCCUGUUUUUGGCCUUUACAUAGGCUAUGUAUCUAACUCAUGUUACACACCUCAGUGUUCACCUGUCUGUCUGAGCUCUUAUCAACACUGAGUACAUUCCCACCAGGUGUUGGGACUUAAUGUUCAGUAUCAAGUUGUUCAAUGUAAGCUGCACUUUGGUUCACUUCACAUGAAUAUAUAGAUUCUCUUUCUGAGCUUUGACUGCUGUCAAAUGUAGAGGAAACAGUAGGCAGCUCCUUUAAAUGACUAAACAGAUCUUAAUAUUGUACAUUUCUCACAUCUAUUCACUUCUGGUUGUAAAUUAAAGGAUAACUGGAGCUCAGAAAUGUUGCUACAUCAAAGAGAAAGAAAAAAGUGACUUACCUGUAUCACAGUGGUGAUUUACAGUCCAGUUCUUUAGAUCACUUGCUUGUUGAUUAGAGUGUGG